Molecule: ribosomal RNA, 610 nt
Filed under: Staphylococcus aureus
Lineage: Bacteria; Bacillati; Bacillota; Bacilli; Caryophanales; Staphylococcaceae
Description: bacterial SSU rRNA
Rfam family: Bacterial small subunit ribosomal RNA
Source: RNAcentral
GACGGUCUUGCUGUCACUUAUAGAUGGAUCCGCGCUGCAUUAGCUAGUUGGUAAGGUAACGGCUUACCAAGGCAACGAUGCAUAGCCGACCUGAGAGGGUGAUCGGCCACACUGGAACUGAGACACGGUCCAGACUCCUACGGGAGGCAGCAGUAGGGAAUCUUCCGCAAUGGGCGAAAGCCUGACGGAGCAACGCCGCGUGAGUGAUGAAGGUCUUCGGAUCGUAAAACUCUGUUAUUAGGGAAGAACAUAUGUGUAAGUAACUGUGCACAUCUUGACGGUACCUAAUCAGAAAGCCACGGCUAACUACGUGCCAGCAGCCGCGGUAAUACGUAGGUGGCAAGCGUUAUCCGGAAUUAUUGGGCGUAAAGCGCGCGUAGGCGGUUUUUUAAGUCUGAUGUGAAAGCCCACGGCUCAACCGUGGAGGGUCAUUGGAAACUGGAAAACUUGAGUGCAGAAGAGGAAAGUGGAAUUCCAUGUGUAGCGGUGAAAUGCGCAGAGAUAUGGAGGAACACCAGUGGCGAAGGCGACUUUCUGGUCUGUAACUGACGCUGAUGUGCGAAAGCGUGGGGAUCAAACAGGAUUAGAUACCCUGGUAGUCCACGCCGUA